UACGUAGGGUGCAAGCGUUGUCCGGAAUUAUUGGGCGUAAAGAGCUCGUAGGCGGUCUGUCGCGUCGGCUGUGAAAACUUGGGGCUCAACCCCAAGCCUGCAGUCGAUACGGGCAGACUAGAGUGUGGUAGGGGGAGACUGGAAUUCCUGGUGUAGCGGUGAAAUGCGCAGAUAUCAGGAGGAACACCGGUGGCGAAGGCGGGACUCUGGGCCGAUACUGACGCUGAGGAGCGAAAGCGUGGGGAGCAAACAGG
Molecule: ribosomal RNA, 254 nt
Filed under: uncultured bacterium
Lineage: Bacteria
Description: partial 16S ribosomal RNA
Rfam family: Bacterial small subunit ribosomal RNA
Source: RNAcentral